This 400-nucleotide ribosomal RNA is filed under the name uncultured bacterium. RNAcentral describes it as "bacterial SSU rRNA". It matches the Rfam family "Archaeal small subunit ribosomal RNA", at positions 339 to 738 of the family's 1478-position model. The record is from RNAcentral.
GCGCGAAAACUUUACAAUGCUGGCAACAGCGAUAAGGGAANCCUCGAGUGCCAGGUUACAAAUCUGGCUGUCGAGAUGCCUAAAAAGCAUUUCAUAGCAAGGGCCGGGCAAGACCGGUGCCAGCCGCCGCGGUAACACCGGCGGCUCGAGUGGUAACCGUUAUUAUUGGGCUAAAGGGUCUGUAGCCGGCCGGAUAAGUCUCUUGAGAAAUCUGGCAGCUUAACUGUCAGGCUUUCAGGAGAUACUGUCUGGCUCGAGGCCGGGAGAGGUGAGAGGUACUUCGAGGGGUAGGGGUGAAAUCUUGUAAUCCUUGAAGGACCACCAGUGGCGAAGGCGUCUCACCAGAACGGACCUGACGGCAAGGGACGAAAGCUAGGGGCACGAACCGGAUUAGAGACCC